AUGCAUUAUGACGUGGCUUGCACUGAAUGAGAUUUUAACACGAAGUGAGUGGCGGACGGGUGAGUAACACGUGGGUAACCUGCCCAGAAGCAGGGGAUAACACCUGGAAACAGAUGCUAAUACCGUAUAACAGAGAAAACCGCCUGGUUUUCUUUUAAAAGAUGGCUCUGCUAUCACUUCUGGAUGGACCCGCGGCGCAUUAGCUAGUUGGUGAGGUAACGGCUCACCAAGGCGAUGAUGCGUAGCCGACCUGAGAGGGUAAUCGGCCACAUUGGGACUGAGACACGGCCCAGACUCCUACGGGAGGCAGCAGUAGGGAAUCUUCCACAAUGGACGCAAGUCUGAUGGAGCAACGCCGCGUGAGUGAAGAAGGGUUUCGGCUCGUAAAGCUCUGUUGUUAAAGAAGAACGUGGGUGAGAGUAACUGUUCACCCAGUGACGGUAUUUAACCAGAAAGCCACGGCUAACUACGUGCCAGCAGCCGCGGUAAUACGUAGGUGGCAAGCGUUAUCCGGAUUUAUUGGGCGUAAAGCGAGCGCAGGCGGUCUUUUAAGUCUAAUGUGAAAGCCUUCGGCUCAACCGAAGAAGUGCAUUGGAAACUGGGAGACUUGAGUGCAGAAGAGGAUAGUGGAACUCCAUGUGUAGCGGUGAAAUGCGUAGAUAUAUGGAAGAACACCAGUGGCGAAGGCGGCUGUCUGGUCUGUAACUGACGCUGAGGCUCGAAAGCAUGGGUAGCGAACAGGAUUAGAUACCCUGGUAGUCCAUGCCGUAAACGAUGAUUACUAAGUGUUGGAGGGUUUCCGCCCUUCAGUGCUGCAGCUAACGCAUUAAGUAAUCCGCCUGGGGAGUACGACCGCAAGGUUGAAACUCAAAAGAAUUGACGGGGGCCCGCACAAGCGGUGGAGCAUGUGGUUUAAUUCGAAGCUACGCGAAGAACCUUACCAGGUCUUGACAUCUUCUGCCAACCUAAGAGAUUAGGCGUUCCCUUCGGGGACAGAAUGACAGGUGGUGCAUGGUUGUCGUCAGCUCGUGUCGUGAGAUGUUGGGUUAAGUCCCGCAACGAGCGCAACCCUUAUUACUAGUUGCCAGCAUUCAGUUGGGCACUCUAGUGAGACUGCCGGUGACAAACCGGAGGAAGGUGGGGACGACGUCAAAUCAUCAUGCCCCUUAUGACCUGGGCUACACACGUGCUACAAUGGAUGGUACAACGAGUUGCGAAACCGCGAGGUUUAGCUAAUCUCUUAAAACCAUUCUCAGUUCGGACUGUAGGCUGCAACUCGCCUACACGAAGUCGGAAUCGCUAGUAAUCGCGGAUCAGCAUGCCGCGGUGAAUACGUUCCCGGGCCUUGUACACACCGCCCGUCACACCAUGAGAGUUUGUUAAAACCAACCCC
Molecule: ribosomal RNA, 1393 nt
Filed under: Pediococcus acidilactici
Lineage: Bacteria; Bacillati; Bacillota; Bacilli; Lactobacillales; Lactobacillaceae
Description: bacterial SSU rRNA
Rfam family: Bacterial small subunit ribosomal RNA
Source: RNAcentral